RNAcentral lists this ribosomal RNA (253 nucleotides) under uncultured bacterium. RNAcentral's name for it is "partial 16S ribosomal RNA". It matches the Rfam family "Bacterial small subunit ribosomal RNA", at positions 524 to 776 of the family's 1533-position model. The record is from RNAcentral.
UACAGAGGGGGCAAGCGUUGUUCGGAAUUACUGGGCGUAAAGGGCGCGUAGGCGGCCCGCUAAGUCGAACGUGAAAUCCCUGGGCUCAACCCAGGAACUGCGUCCGAUACUGGCAGGCUUGAAUCCGGGAGAGGGAUGCGGAAUUCCAGGUGUAGCGGUGAAAUGCGUAGAUAUCUGGAGGAACACCGGUGGCGAAGGCGGCAUCCUGGACCGGCAUUGACGCUGAGGCGCGAAAGCUAGGGGAGCAAACGGG